GGGAAUGUGGCUUAAUGGUAAAGUACUUGCCUAGCAUGCAUGAAACUCUGGGUUCAAUUCCUCAGUACCA
This 70-nucleotide transfer RNA is filed under the name Dipodomys ordii (Ord's kangaroo rat). It matches the Rfam family "tRNA". From Rfam's summary of the family: Transfer RNA (tRNA) molecules are approximately 80 nucleotides in length. Their secondary structure includes four short double-helical elements and three loops (D, anti-codon, and T loops). Further hydrogen bonds mediate the characteristic L-shaped molecular structure. tRNAs have two regions of fundamental functional importance: the anti-codon, which is responsible for specific mRNA codon recognition, and the 3' end, to which the tRNAs corresponding amino acid is attached (by aminoacyl-tRNA synthetases). tRNAs cope with the degeneracy of the genetic code in two manners: having more than one tRNA (with a specific anti-codon) for a particular amino acid; and 'wobble' base-pairing, i.e. permitting non-standard base-pairing at the 3rd anti-codon position. Lineage: Eukaryota; Metazoa; Chordata; Mammalia; Rodentia; Heteromyidae. The record is from Rfam by way of RNAcentral.